This 377-nucleotide ribosomal RNA is filed under the name uncultured bacterium. RNAcentral's name for it is "bacterial SSU rRNA". It matches the Rfam family "Bacterial small subunit ribosomal RNA", at positions 524 to 898 of the family's 1533-position model. The record is from RNAcentral.
GACGAACCGUGCGAACGUUAUUCGGAAUCACUGGGCUUAAAGCGCGUGUAGGCGGGGCGGAACGUCGGAUGCUGAAAGCCCCCGGCUCAACCGGGGAAGUGGCACCGAUACGACCGCCCUCGAGGGACGUAGGGGGACCUGGAACUUCCGGUGGAGCGGUGAAAUGCGUUGAGAUCGGAAGGAACGCCCGUGGCGAAAGCGAGGUCCUGGACGUUUUCUGACGCUGAGACGCGAAAGCCAGGGGAGCGAACGGGAUUAGAUACCCCGGUAGUCCUGGCCGUAAACGAUGGGCACUGGGUAGGGGGCUCGCCGAUGGGCUCCCUGCCGAAGCGAAAGCGUGAAGUGCCCCGCCUGGGGAGUAUGGUCGCAAGGCUGAA